Neodiprion fabricii is the source of this 269-nucleotide long non-coding RNA. RefSeq lists it as uncharacterized. The transcript has 3 exons. The record is from RefSeq and is a predicted model, not a curated record. Lineage: Eukaryota; Metazoa; Arthropoda; Insecta; Hymenoptera; Diprionidae.
CUACACGACACUCUUCUCGAUUUUUUCCUAUUAUCGUGCGCAAAGUUCGAUUUUGCGCAUGCAUUUGCGUUCGCAAAGUACCACUUUCCCACACGUUGACAAGAGCGUGCGGGAAUGCAACUGAGCGAACGGGGAUGUAGCUGAGCGUGCGGGAAUGUGGUGAGCGUGCGGGAAUGUAUAAGAGUAUACGAGCGAUUCCAAGGUAUAUACGCGCGCGCCAUCUCUACGGCACUCUCUUCGCAUUAACACGUGCGAGCGAUACUUUGACG